Molecule: non-coding RNA, 129 nt
Organism: Brachypodium distachyon (stiff brome)
Lineage: Eukaryota; Viridiplantae; Streptophyta; Magnoliopsida; Poales; Poaceae
Source: Rfam
UUCCUACUCCCUCCGUUUCAUAAUUCUUGUCGAAAUAUUACAUAUAUCUAUCUAGACGCUUUUUAGGAAUAGAUACAUCCAAUUUUAGGCAAAUUUGAGACAAGAAUUAUGAAACGGAAGGAGUACAAU